UCUAUGAAGUAGAUGCGUGUGCCAAAUACCGGAACGUUUAUUGUAUUUGCUUUGUGCCGUAUUUCACCUGCGGCUUGAUGAUUCCUCGCGAGGAACGAGUAGAUAUUGAGCUGUGUGUUGUAUGUCUACGAAGAGCCUGUCAGAAACCUACUGGAUGUUUUUAUGGAAUCGACGUAAUGCGUGAGGUUGUCACCUGUUUUUCUGACAGCGACAAUGCCGUCCAAAUGCGAUCAGUCUGCGCAUAAUCAUCAAUUGGGCAAAUCACUAAGUUUGUUAACUUCCCUGCACGAAUAUCAGUGUAGUCAUAUUUUAGAGUUAUAUGCCUCUACUGCGCAACAGGAAAAACUGACUGAUUUUUGUUAAAAAUGCAAUUCCAUAGUAGGCCAACGCUGGCAGUCCUGGCGGGAUGUCAUUGGCGUCUAAAGGUGAACGUGUGCGUAUGGCCGAAACGGUGUUGCGGCCGAGCGUCUGAACGCAGGCAACAGUAGCGAGAGCAAGUAUCGCUAUUGAGAAUCAACAUUAUAAGAUCGGCCGGCACCACUGUCAACGUUAUCGUCAUUAUGUCCAGUGGAUCAGGACUUCUCUUCGGGGGCCUAACAGCCGCCGGGGAGGGUUGACGCGGAGUGAAUGAACCUUUGAUUGAACGCAGCUGUGAGCCAUCGCUUGGCUUAAAUUGCGGCUAAACUUCAAAUCAUUUCUAAAUUAUCUGGUACUGACGUUUAAGAUGAACUUCUCGGAAAGCAUCUAUCGAAAAAAAAGCAAAUUAUUUGAGUUCUUCAUUCCGGCUCACUACACAGACGCGUUCAGCCAAUGUACCA
Varroa destructor (honeybee mite) is the source of this 818-nucleotide long non-coding RNA. Lineage: Eukaryota; Metazoa; Arthropoda; Arachnida; Mesostigmata; Varroidae. The record is from RefSeq and is a predicted model, not a curated record.